Molecule: ribosomal RNA, 1372 nt
Filed under: uncultured bacterium
Lineage: Bacteria
Description: bacterial SSU rRNA
Rfam family: Bacterial small subunit ribosomal RNA
Source: RNAcentral
GAUGAACGCUGGCGGCGUGCCUAAUACAUGCAAGUCGAGCGAACGGACGAGAAGCUUGCUUCUCUGAUGUUAGCGGCGGACGGGUGAGUAACACGUGGAUAACCUACCUAUAAGACUGGGAUAACUUCGGGAAACCGGAGCUAAUACCGGAUAAUAUUUUGAACCGCAUGGUUCAAAAGUGAAAGACGGUCUUGCUGUCACUUAUAGAUGGAUCCGCGCUGCAUUAGCUAGUUGGUAAGGUAACGGCUUACCAAGGCAACGAUGCAUAGCCGACCUGAGAGGGUGAUCGGCCACACUGGAACUGAGACACGGUCCAGACUCCUACGGGAGGCAGCAGUAGGGAAUCUUCCGCAAUGGGCGAAAGCCUGACGGAGCAACGCCGCGUGAGUGAUGAAGGUCUUCGGAUCGUAAAACUCUGUUAUUAGGGAAGAACAUAUGUGUAAGUAACUGUGCACAUCUUGACGGUACCUAAUCAGAAAGCCACGGCUAACUACGUGCCAGCAGCCGCGGUAAUACGUAGGUGGCAAGCGUUAUCCGGAAUUAUUGGGCGUAAAGCGCGCGUAGGCGGUUUUUUAAGUCUGAUGUGAAAGCCCACGGCUCAACCGUGGAGGGUCAUUGGAAACUGGAAAACUUGAGUGCAGAAGAGGAAAGUGGAAUUCCAUGUGUAGCGGUGAAAUGCGCAGAGAUAUGGAGGAACACCAGUGGCGAAGGCGACUUUCUGGUCUGUAACUGACGCUGAUGUGCGAAAGCGUGGGGAUCAAACAGGAUUAGAUACCCUGGUAGUCCACGCCGUAAACGAUGAGUGCUAAGUGUUAGGGGGUUUCCGCCCCUUAGUGCUGCAGCUAACGCAUUAAGCACUCCGCCUGGGGGGUACGACCGCAAGGUUGAAACUCAAAGGAAUUGACGGGGACCCGCACAAGCGGUGGAGCAUGUGGUUUAAUUCGAAGCAACGCGAAGAACCUUACCAAAUCUUGACAUCCUUUGACAACUCUAGAGAUAGAGCCUUCCCCUUCGGGGGACAAAGUGACAGGUGGUGCAUGGUUGUCGUCAGCUCGUGUCGUGAGAUGUUGGGUUAAGUCCCGCAACGAGCGCAACCCUUAAGCUUAGUUGCCAUCAUUAAGUUGGGCACUCUAAGUUGACUGCCGGUGACAAACCGGAGGAAGGUGGGGAUGACGUCAAAUCAUCAUGCCCCUUAUGAUUUGGGCUACACACGUGCUACAAUGGACAAUACAAAGGGCAGCGAAACCGCGAGGUCAAGCAAAUCCCAUAAAGUUGUUCUCAGUUCGGAUCGUAGUCUGCAACUCGACUACAUGAAGCUGGAAUCGCUAGUAAUCGUAGAUCAGCAUGCUACGGUGAAUACGUUCCCGGGUCU